GGGGUGUGGUGUUUGAGAUAUAGAUAGAGGUUGCGAGCACAUAACACCCGAUGUUUUCGGGGUGUUGAUGUGCAUUUUUUUUCGAAUUGUUUUACUCAUA
Molecule: unclassified non-coding RNA, 100 nt
Filed under: uncultured Mycobacterium sp.
Lineage: Bacteria; Bacillati; Actinomycetota; Actinomycetes; Mycobacteriales; Mycobacteriaceae
Description: partial 16S-23S ribosomal RNA intergenic spacer
Source: RNAcentral